CAGAGAAAAACGAACACCAAGCCUCAAGCGAUCUCGAGCGCCAGAGCCCCCACACCCGCCGCCGUGUCGUCGCCUUCGUCGAUCAAGAGCAACACCAACGUGGCUCCGCCGGAGUUGGAGCAACGCGCCAAGGUGUCGCCACCGCCGCCGUUCGCGUCGGACAGGUGGGCCGCGGGCGGCGCCUCGUCCUCCGACGAGGAGGAGGACACCAAGAAGACCAAGAACAAGAAGGCCGCGGCCAGCAAGGCGGUGCCGGCGAGGAAGAGCGGCAAGGCCAAGGGCAAGGACAGGUACCUCGUUGCGCCACCGGCAGAAGCUGGCCAGGGGUUCAUGCCCGCAGGCGGCGCCCCCGACCCGUUCGCCGACAACGACGCGCUCCCGCCCUCCUCGUUCGACCCGUUCGCCGACGCGCGCGCCGACGACGCUGCCGGGGGCGGCGCCGGGGUCGACGACGCCUACGUGCACCUCCGCGUGCAGCAGCGCAAUGGCAAGAAGACGCUGACCACGGUGCAGGGGCUCAGCGCCAGCUACAACUACGCCAAGGUGCUGCGGGACCUCAAGCGGGAGCUCUGCUGCAACGGCACCGUCGUCGAGGACAAGGAGCUCGGCAACGUCAUCCAGCUGCAGGGCGACCACCGCAAGCGCGUCGCCGGCUUCCUCGCCAAGGCCGGCCUCGCCAAGACCGAGUGCAUCAAGGUCCACGGCUUCUAA
This 711-nucleotide ribosomal RNA is filed under the name Triticum aestivum (bread wheat). RNAcentral describes it as "partial small subunit ribosomal RNA". Lineage: Eukaryota; Viridiplantae; Streptophyta; Magnoliopsida; Poales; Poaceae. The record is from RNAcentral.